This 253-nucleotide ribosomal RNA is filed under the name uncultured bacterium. RNAcentral's name for it is "partial 16S ribosomal RNA". It matches the Rfam family "Bacterial small subunit ribosomal RNA", at positions 524 to 776 of the family's 1533-position model. The record is from RNAcentral.
UACGUAGGGUGCGAGCGUUGCCCGGAUUUAUUGGGCGUAAAGGGCUCGUAGGCGGUCUGUUGCGUCAGGAGUGAAAACUCGGGGCUUAACCCCGAGCCUGCUUCUGAUACGGGCAGACUAGAGGUAUGCAGGGGAGAACGGAAUUCCUGGUGUAGCGGUGAAAUGCGCAGAUAUCAGGAGGAACACCGGUGGCGAAGGCGGUUCUCUGGGCAUUACCUGACACUGAGGAGCGAAAGCGUGGGGAGCGAACAGG